RNAcentral lists this non-coding RNA (26 nucleotides) under Homo sapiens (human). Lineage: Eukaryota; Metazoa; Chordata; Mammalia; Primates; Hominidae. The record is from RNAcentral.
UCUGACUAUAAUGAGGGAUGUGUUGC